UGGGGAAUAUUGCACAAUGGGCGAAAGCCUGAUGCAGCAACGCCGCGUGAGUGAUGAAGGCCUUCGGGUUGUAAAGCUCUGUCUUUUGGGACGAUAAUGACGGUACCAAAGGAGGAAGCCACGGCUAACUACGUGCCAGCAGCCGCGGUAAUACGUAGGUGGCAAGCGUUGUCCGGAUUUACUGGGCGUAAAGGAUGCGUAGGCGGAUACUUAAGUCAGAUGUGAAAAUCCCGGGCUUAACUUGGGAACUGCAUUUGAAACUGGGUAUCUAGAGUGCGGGAGAGGAAAGUGGAAUUCCUAGUGUAGCGGUGAAAUGCGUAGAGAUUAGGAAGAACACCGGUGGCGAAGGCGACUUUCUGGACCGUAACUGACGCUGAGGCAUGAAAGCGUGGGGAGCAAACA
Molecule: ribosomal RNA, 402 nt
Filed under: uncultured bacterium
Lineage: Bacteria
Description: bacterial SSU rRNA
Rfam family: Bacterial small subunit ribosomal RNA
Source: RNAcentral